This 211-nucleotide unclassified non-coding RNA is filed under the name plant metagenome. RNAcentral describes it as "partial contains small subunit ribosomal RNA, internal transcribed spacer 1, and 5.8S ribosomal RNA". The record is from RNAcentral.
UUUCCGUAGGUGAACCUGCGGAAGGAUCAUUCAUAAUAAAGUGUUUUAUGGCACUUUCUAAAAAUCCAUAUCCACCUUGUGUGCAAUGUUAGAUCUCGUCAAUCUUGGCGAGAUUUUUAUACAUCAACUCAUUCCUUAACUAAUUUGUCUGAAAAAUAUUAUGAACACUUAAUUCAAAAUACAACUUUCAACAACGGAUCUCUUGGCUCUC